GGGAAUUCAAUUCAGAAUGCAAUUCAGGUCAGCAACAAAAGAAGCUCACGUCAAGAAUGCGAGUCAGCAGUCCAAGAUGAUCAACAGAAGUUAGUCACAAUCCAGAAUAAAAACAAAAAAGAAAGACAAGAAGUGAAUCCAAAUGCAGAAGUUAAUGAAAGAUGUGAGCUGCUCAAGACAGGGCUGAGGUCACAAGCUCUGCAUGUCCCGUCUUGGUUUGAAAACCUGAAGAAGAUAUAACCAACACCUGCAGCUAACAAGCAUCAAGAUUCAGAUCAGGGUCCGUAUGAAGAACCAACCAAGACUCAAGAUCAAGCUUCAGAAGACUCAUAGAUAGGAGUCUUGUAACUCGUAGCUGAUAGGUUUUGAAAUAUUCUUGCAUAAAUGAUUUUUGUUUGAAUUAUUUUUGGGACAAAUGUAAAAUUUUGAAUUAAGCUUCACUUUGUGCUUUGUAUACAGAUAAAACCGGGCCCACCCGAUUUUACUAUUUGAUCGAAACUAGGGAGUUGCAUCGAAGGUCGGUCCCGCAGUAGAUCAGACCAAAGUACGAGGACAAGGUUUCGAGUUCGGGAAUAGAGGUACCUGUCGAGAUCGAAGCCAAUAGAUAUCGAGACCAAAUGAGACAGACAUCGAACAAUACGAAAAUAGCACAAUAACAUAAAGGCGAGAUAUUCGUGAAUGGUCGAAGAUCAUGGUGUCAAUUUCGGAACGGAUCAAAUCAGGAACAUUUAAUUAGCUAAUCAUGGGAUUUCCUUAUGUAACUAAAAUUAUACCAUAAGUAGAAUUCCUCUACUAUAUAAAGGGGGUUCUAAUCAUUUGUAGGAGAAAUUGUUCACACAUAUCAAA
This 846-nucleotide long non-coding RNA is filed under the name Nicotiana tabacum (common tobacco). Its description in RNAcentral is "long non-coding RNA (NTAB_LNC016436)". Lineage: Eukaryota; Viridiplantae; Streptophyta; Magnoliopsida; Solanales; Solanaceae. The record is from RNAcentral.